RNAcentral lists this ribosomal RNA (302 nucleotides) under uncultured bacterium. RNAcentral describes it as "partial 16S ribosomal RNA". It matches the Rfam family "Bacterial small subunit ribosomal RNA", at positions 508 to 807 of the family's 1533-position model. The record is from RNAcentral.
GCAGUAGCCACGGUAAUACGAAGGGUGCAAGCGUUACUCGGAAUUACUGGGCGUAAAGCGUGCGUAGGUGGUGGUUUAAGUCCGUUGUGAAAGCCCUGGGCUCAACCUGGGAAUUGCAGUGGAUACUGGGUCACUAGAGUGUGGUAGAGGAUAGUGGAAUUUCCGGUGUAGCAGUGAAAUGCGUAGAGAUCGGAAGGAACAUCAGUGGCGAAGGCGGCCAUCUGGGACAACACUGACGCUGAAGCACGAAAGCGUGGGGAGCAAACAGGAUUAGAUACCCCCGUAGUCCCUGUCUCUUAUAC